Molecule: long non-coding RNA, 790 nt
Organism: Syngnathus typhle (broad-nosed pipefish)
Lineage: Eukaryota; Metazoa; Chordata; Actinopteri; Syngnathiformes; Syngnathidae
Exons: 3
Source: RefSeq, a predicted model, not a curated record
AGUAACUGGAGGUGGUAUUUGAACGGGCGCUGGAGGUGGCGGUUGUACAGGUGGAUGCUGGGUGAGAACGAAGGGCACCCGCGGUGGCUGUGAUCGCAGGGACGGCUUGGAGAAUGUAGCGGGAGCUGAUGAAGUGGACAAGGCAUCAUCGUUCGUCUCUGAUAGCUGCUUGUAUAUCUGAUGUGCUUUGAAGCAGACUGAGACCGUUUGACAUCUGAGAGGAUCGUCGUGAAUGUGCAGCUGACCGGUGGACGAGGAUCUCUCUUGGGUCGGGCCGAUGACUCCCGCUGCUGACUAUCAGUUGUUGAUUCCAUAGUGUCGGGGGAACCCUAAUCCGGCUCGAAGGACCAUGUAAAGAUGUGGAUUAGUGGUUAGGGAUGGAGCACGAUGGACGAGUCCGGUUAGAGAAUCUUGCAUCAACUUUAUUCUCAACAGCAGUGAGUGUACAGGUUUCCAGGAGUGUAUGUUAGUGGGUUUGAGUGUGUACUUGUGUGGGUGUGUGUGGGUGUGUAUACAUGUGUGUAUAUGUGUGUGUGUAUGCGUGUGUUGUAUAUGUGUGUUUGUGUGGUCUAUACAGAAGGAAAACAAAGAGAAAUAAUGUAAUUAGAUUAUGACAGUCAAAUUACAUCAUCUAAUAAACAUAUGCAUAAACAGCUAUGUAGGGUAUCUCCACUACAAUAGCACAAUGCAAGCAAUAACAACUGAUAUACAGGGCAAUAAACUUUACUACUGCUACCACCCUUAAUGAACAUUCAAUAAGUGCGUUACUGCCGCUUUAAGACGUGCACUG